Molecule: long non-coding RNA, 315 nt
Organism: Talpa occidentalis (Iberian mole)
Lineage: Eukaryota; Metazoa; Chordata; Mammalia; Eulipotyphla; Talpidae
Exons: 3
Source: RefSeq, a predicted model, not a curated record
UCCCAGGGGCAGAAGACCUGCCUUAGGGGUUACUCUGCAGAAUGCAGAAUGUUACUCUAAGAUAAUGCCCUUUACACAGUAAUGACCUGGAAUCUAUUGAAAGCUACAGGCCCUCUUUAGAGAAAUGCACACACAAGUCUUCCUACAAGUCCAGAGGUGCAGUGGGGGAUGGUGCACAGACCUCCUGAAGCAGCCCCCAGGCAUAAGACUAAGCACCCCUAGGAUGUGGAACUCUACAAAUUUGAGCUUCUGGGUCAUCUCUGGACCCCACCAUCAGCGACCGCAUGUAGUCUGAAUAGAGAAAACCUCAGGAAA